Molecule: ribosomal RNA, 301 nt
Filed under: uncultured bacterium
Lineage: Bacteria
Description: partial 16S ribosomal RNA
Rfam family: Bacterial small subunit ribosomal RNA
Source: RNAcentral
CAGUAGCCGCGGGAAUACGGAGGGUGCAAGCGUUAUCCGGAUUUAUUGGGUUUAAAGGGUCCGUAGGCGGACUUAUAAGUCAGUGGUGAAAGCCUGUCGCUUAACGAUAGAACUGCCAUUGAUACUGUAAGUCUUGAGUAUAUUUGAGGUAGCUGGAAUAAGUAGUGUAGCGGUGAAAUGCAUAGAUAUUACUUAGAACACCAAUUGCGAAGGCAGGUUACCAAGAUAUAACUGACGCUGAGGGACGAAAGCGUGGGUAGCGAACAGGAUUAGAUACCCCUGUAGUCCCUGUCUCUUUACA